GAAGCUGGAAUCGCUAGUAAUCGCGGAUCAGCACGCCGCGGUGAAUACGUUCCCGGGCCUUGUACACACCGCCCGUCACACCAUGGAAGUCUGCAAUGCCCGAAGCCGGUGGCCUAACCACUUAUGUGGAAGGAGCCGUCUAAGGCAGGGCAGAUGACUGGGGUGAAGUCGUAACAAGGUAAC
Molecule: ribosomal RNA, 183 nt
Filed under: uncultured bacterium
Lineage: Bacteria
Description: partial 16S ribosomal RNA
Rfam family: Bacterial small subunit ribosomal RNA
Source: RNAcentral